UAAUUAACUUAUAUACCCAGAAAUUUCUAGGGCCCCCAGACUGUGGGCUCUGUGAAAGCAGAUGGUGAAAAUAUGUCUCUUUUUUUUCUUUCUGACAGUAAAGUCUCUGAGAUGUCUCCAGUGCUAUCCUUCCAAGAAACUGCCCAUUUCCAAAUUUAGCCUACUGGGGAGCAGCAAAAAGAGAAUGGGAUUCAGAGUCAGAAGACCCAGCUGAGAUAGAACACAGAUGAGAACACAGGUGAGAUGAGCACAGUGAGAUGAGCACUAAGAACCAACUGAGAUUAUCUAUAGCUAUGAUUGAAUUCUGACCUAGAGCAAUGAUUGCCACAAGGAAGAACUUGCAAAGGGUGCUAUUUUAGAAAAAAUAAGGAUUCAGGAUGAAUACAUGAACAUGGAGCUCAACUCAUUAUGUUUGAAGUCUGGGACCACCACUUCAUGUGAAUGCAAUAUCCUUGAAUGAGGACACAGUCAUAGGCUCAACCUCCAUGUAAAGGUAGGAAACCCAGUAAACCAGAUUGAACAAGCAGAAGGCAGUGGGGAAGAAGAUCCGCGCAUAGGAGUCCAUCUUGGCGAUACGGAUGUGUAUCCUCCCAUGUCUCCAAGCUCCUGUCCGGCAGUCUUCGAAACAGCAGAAAAAACUGGCACAGUCCUUGCCGUCCAGACACUCAUACCCGUAUUCUUCAUCUCUCUCUUGAAGAUUCUUCAAUUCCCUUUCUCCUCUGCCUUCUUUUCGUCUGCCACCUCAUGACCCUAGCUUAAGGAAUCCAAGUGUUUUGUAUCUCUGCAACAAAAUCCACUCCACAAUAGAGAGGACCAGAGGGCUUUGUCCUAAGCCAGUCCUCACAUCCCAGUUUCUACUGCCAGGGUGCCGUACUCCACCAAAGCAGAGAAGACAAAGAUGAAGCAAACAGAUACGAAGAGAUCCAUUGCCGUGACAUAGGAGACCUUGGGGAGCGACUUCCGGGCAAUGGUGCUGAGGGUAGUCAUCGUCAAGACAGUGGUAAUGCCUGCAGGAAGACACAACAGAACAGGUCAUGUGACCACACCAGCAAGGGGGAUAACUGUCACUAAUAAAACCAGACGUGUUUUGUGACUUCUGAGGAGCAACCUCAGUGUUGGGAAAGGAGGUGUAACUCAGAUUCAUUCACUCAGUUCACAGAUGUGUAUUGCCCGCCUACUACGUAUCAUCUACCGUAUGUACUGAGAAACGUGCUGAAAAUGUGCUGAGAAAUAAAAUAGACAUGGUCCCUGCCCACAUGUCCCUCGUAUUUCAGCGAAAGACACCACCAUGGAUCAAGUAAGCAAAGAAAAGUAUAAUUAGAAAUUAUGGUACGUGCCAUGCAGAAGAGCAGGGAUG
Long non-coding RNA from Lagenorhynchus albirostris (white-beaked dolphin), 1357 nucleotides. RefSeq lists it as uncharacterized. The transcript is spliced from 6 exons. NCBI's taxonomy places the organism in Eukaryota, Metazoa, Chordata, Mammalia, Artiodactyla, Delphinidae. The record is from RefSeq and is a predicted model, not a curated record.